CCUACGGGGGGCAGCAGUGAGGAAUAUUGGUCAAUGGUCGGGAGACUGAACCAGCCAAGCCGCGUGAGGGAGGAAGGUACAGAGUAUCGUAAACCUCUUUUGUCAGGGAACAAAGGCGGGGACGUGUCCCCGGCUGAGUGUACCUGAAGAAAAAGCAUCGGCUAACUCCGUGCCAGCAGCCGCGGUCAUACGGAGGAUGCGAGCGUUAUCCGGAUUUAUUGGGUUUAAAGGGUGCGCAGGCGGUCUGUUAAGUCUGCGGUCAAAGCCCGGGGCUCAACCCCGGCCCGCCGUUGAAACUGGCAGUCUCGAGUUGGAGAGAAGUAUGCGGAAUGCGCGGUGUAGCGGUGAAAUGCAUAGAUAUCGCGCAGAACUCCGAUUGCGAAGGCAGCAUGCCGGCUCCACACUGACGCUGAGGCACGAAAGCGUGGGUAUCGAACAGGAUUAGAUACCCCGGUAGUC
This 459-nucleotide ribosomal RNA is filed under the name uncultured bacterium. RNAcentral's name for it is "partial 16S ribosomal RNA". It matches the Rfam family "Bacterial small subunit ribosomal RNA", at positions 338 to 795 of the family's 1533-position model. The record is from RNAcentral.